RNAcentral lists this small RNA (363 nucleotides) under Arabidopsis thaliana (thale cress). RNAcentral's name for it is "ATSL215420". The record is from RNAcentral. Lineage: Eukaryota; Viridiplantae; Streptophyta; Magnoliopsida; Brassicales; Brassicaceae.
AAUACACAUCGGUCCGGUUUAGUAGUUGGUCCAUCGAUCUAUACCAAAUAUAUCGUGAUCAAUGGCUAGAAAAACCAUCGAUCUCAAUGAGGCAUAUUAGGAAUAUUGUUCCACAUUAGAAGUUGAGUAUAAUUUUAAGUGGUAUAUAUAUAAGUUAUGAGUUUUUCCACUUAUUGUCAAUUAGUUUUGAGUUGAAACCGCACAAUCUAAUAGAUUUGAGUUGUAUAUAAGAGAUAUAGACCUUUCCAUUUAUUGUCAAUUAAUUUUGAGUUAAAAACCAAUAAAACUUAACAUGGUAUCAGAGUCCAAAAACACAUGAUUCACUAAUCCAGUCCGGAAAGUGGUCUGGUCAUCUUUACUAAU